This 162-nucleotide ribosomal RNA is filed under the name Allionia incarnata. RNAcentral describes it as "5.8S ribosomal RNA". It matches the Rfam family "5.8S ribosomal RNA". From Rfam's summary of the family: 5.8S ribosomal RNA (5.8S rRNA) is a component of the large subunit of the eukaryotic ribosome. It is transcribed by RNA polymerase I as part of the 45S precursor that also contains 18S and 28S rRNA. Functionally, it is thought that 5.8S rRNA may be involved in ribosome translocation. Lineage: Eukaryota; Viridiplantae; Streptophyta; Magnoliopsida; Caryophyllales; Nyctaginaceae. The record is from RNAcentral.
AACGACUCUCGGCAACGGAUAUCUCGGCUCUUGCAUCGAUGAAGAACGUAGCGAAAUGCGAUACUUGGUGUGAAUUGCAGAAUCCCGUGAACCAUCGAGUCUUUGAACGCAAGUUGCGCCCGACGCCGCUAGGCUGAAGGCACGCCUGCCUGGGCGUCACAC